GUAGGUGGCAAGCGUUGUCCGGAAUUAUUGGGCGUAAAGCGCGCGCAGGCGGUUUUUUAAGUCUGAUGUGAAAGCCCACGGCUCAACCGUGGAGGGUCAUUGGAAACUGGAGAACUUGAGUGCAGAAGAGGAGAGUGGAAUUCCACGUGUAGCGGUGAAAUGCGUAGAGAUGUGGAGGAACACCAGUGGCGAAGGCGACUCUCUGGUCUGUAACUGACGCUGAGGCGCGAAAGCGUGGGGGGAGCAAACAGGAUUAGAUACCCUGGUAGUCCACGCCGUAAACGAUGAGUGCUAAGUGUUAGAGGGUUUCCCGCCCUUUAGUGCUGCAGCAAACGCAUUAAGCACUCCGCCUGGGAGUACGGUCGCAAGACUG
Molecule: ribosomal RNA, 373 nt
Filed under: uncultured organism
Description: partial 16S ribosomal RNA
Rfam family: Bacterial small subunit ribosomal RNA
Source: RNAcentral